AUUAGUAAUAAUUUCAUGGAAUCGUAUCAGCACUGUCAACACAAGGAAUGACCUGCAUGUGUUACCGAUACGGAUUAACUCUUAAACCAGGAGUUUAAGCAACUAUUUGGAUAUCAAAGGAGUUCUUAGAUACGUGAUGCAACACCUCGCUUGAUUUAUGGCUGUUGUUGUUUUUCCACUUUCUUUUUGAGGAAAAUAAAACUUUAAAUCAACAGUGAAGAAGUUGUGCUUCUUGUUUUAAGCAGCGGGGCAACUUAAAAGUUCACUUACCUGAUCUUCGUGAUCACCUGUAGCGGAAGAAGCCAUAUUGAAGAAGGUGUGUAGCGCAGCUGGUCCGGUUCACAGAUUCACUUUCUCACUAAACGUGCACCUCCAAGGAGUCCCUAAAGCGGUCAGGGAGCAGGAAGGGGGCGGUGUAAGUUCUUCGGAAACGGUAAAAAGUCCAGGUGCAG
Oreochromis aureus is the source of this 452-nucleotide long non-coding RNA. RefSeq lists it as uncharacterized. The record is from RefSeq and is a predicted model, not a curated record. NCBI's taxonomy places the organism in Eukaryota, Metazoa, Chordata, Actinopteri, Cichliformes, Cichlidae. The transcript has 3 exons.